This 484-nucleotide ribosomal RNA is filed under the name uncultured bacterium. Its description in RNAcentral is "partial 16S ribosomal RNA". It matches the Rfam family "Bacterial small subunit ribosomal RNA", at positions 30 to 507 of the family's 1533-position model. The record is from RNAcentral.
AUUGAACGCUGGCGGCAGGCCUAACACAUGCAAGUCGAGCGGAUGAAGGGAGCUUGCUCCUGGAUUCAGCGGCGGACGGGUGAGUAAUGCCUAGGAAUCUGCCUGGUAGUGGGGGAUAACGUCCGGAAACGGGCGCUAAUACCGCAUACGUCCUGAGGGAGAAAGUGGGGGAGCUUCGGACCUCACGCUAUCAGAUGAGCCUAGGUCGGAUUAGCAAGUUGGUGGGGUAAAGGCCCACCAAGGCGACGAUCCGUAACUGGUCUGAGAGGAUGAGCAGUCACACUGGAACUGAGCCACGGUCCAGACUCCUACGGGAGGCAGCAGUGGGGAACAUUGGACAAUGGGCGAAAGCCUGAUCCAGCCAUGCCGCGUGUGUGAAGAAGGUCUUCGGAUUGUAAAGCACUUUAAGUUGGGAGGAAGGGCAGUAAGUUAAUACCUUGCUGUUUUGACGUUACCUACAGAAUAAGCACCGGCUAACUUCGUG